GUUAAAAACAAAAGUCGUGUAUGACGUAAAUAAGACAGAACUCGUUGAGUACGUCAACGUCAAUAGUUCAAAAUCUUAUACUCUUUGUAGUUCAACGUUAACAGCUAAAACUAUUUGGUGUAUUUGUGUAAAAUAAUGAAUUACAAUAGCUAUCGUUGGUGUUUAGUGCCUCGUUGUACAAAUACUAGCAUUAAAAAUCCAGGAAAGUUGUUUAUCAAAGUGCCAGAUGAUACUGAAAUGAGGAAAGUUUGGUUGGAACUUGCAAAACGAGGUCCUAAUUCAUUAUCAACUAAAAGCCGAGUGUAUUUAUGCGAGGAUCAUUUCAAUUUGGAACAAGAUAUGGAGAAUUAUAUGGAAUACAAAAUAAUGGGAUCUGUAAAACAUGUUAAGAUGAAAGUAAACACCACCCCGUCCAGAUUUUGAAAACAAAAUGAAAUGAAAUGAAAA
Melitaea cinxia (Glanville fritillary) is the source of this 447-nucleotide long non-coding RNA. RefSeq lists it as uncharacterized. The transcript is spliced from 2 exons. Lineage: Eukaryota; Metazoa; Arthropoda; Insecta; Lepidoptera; Nymphalidae. The record is from RefSeq and is a predicted model, not a curated record.